GACGAACGCUGGCGGCGUGCUUAACACAUGCAAGUCGAACGGGAGGAAAAGAGAAGCUUGCUUCUUUUGAAUCUAGUGGCAAACGGGUGAGUAACACGUAAACAACCUGCCUUCAGGAUGGGGACAACAGACGGAAACGACUGCUAAUACCGAAUGUGUUCCGGAGACCGCAUGAUUUCCGGAAGAAAGGAUGGCCUCUAUUUAUAAGCUAUAGCCUGAAGAGGGGUUUGCGUCUGAUUAGGCAGUUGGUGAGGUAACGGCCCACCAAACCUACGAUCAGUAGCCGGUCUGAGAGGAUGAACGGCCACACUGGAACUGAGACACGGUCCAGACUCCUACGGGAGGCAGCAGUGGGGAAUCUUCCGCAAUGGACGAAAGUCUGACGGAGCAACGCCGCGUGAGUGAUGACGGCCUCGGUGUAAGACUCUGUGAUCGGGGAC
Molecule: ribosomal RNA, 440 nt
Filed under: uncultured bacterium
Lineage: Bacteria
Description: bacterial SSU rRNA
Rfam family: Bacterial small subunit ribosomal RNA
Source: RNAcentral